Long non-coding RNA from Beta vulgaris subsp. vulgaris (sugar beet), 1353 nucleotides. RefSeq lists it as uncharacterized. The transcript has 3 exons. The record is from RefSeq and is a predicted model, not a curated record. NCBI's taxonomy places the organism in Eukaryota, Viridiplantae, Streptophyta, Magnoliopsida, Caryophyllales, Amaranthaceae.
AUUAAAAGUAAUUGAAGUUUUAAUAGUAAAAACAACUUUUGAAUAUUUUCAAAACGGAUUUAAAUUAUAUAUGUAAUACUCCGUAUUUUUGGAGUUAAUUCCUUAUAAUUAAGAAAAUAUAAAGAAUAUAAUUAAAAGGUAUUUUAAGAUUAUUUACAAAAAAUUAAUAAUAAUACAGUUGGAGUACGUUUACAACUUUAACGUAAUUCUAUUAUCGUUCGGUUUAUUUUAAUUUCGAAAUGAAUAAACUAAAUCGAGUCCUACAAGACCUAGAGUUGCCAAGUAUAAAUUGGAAAGAAUAAUAAUAAUUAAAUGAGAAAAAAAAAAAGAAAACCCUAAUUCUCUCUUUCCCCCUCCCUCAGCCGUUUCUCUCUCUCCUUCUCUCUCAGUUUCUCUCUCCUCUCUUCUCUUCUCCCUCGCUGUUUCCCUCUAAGCUUCAAAGUGCGUGGUGCGAGGCGUGCGAGAGUGUGUGACACAAGCAGUGAAGGAGAGGAUUCGAGCGGUCGGGUGUGCGAGGGGCUGCUCGAGUGUGUACGAGAAUCGUGCGAACAAUUCGUGGUUCGAGGUUGUGCGAGCAGAGGGGAGUGCUCGAGGAUCUGUGCGAGCGACGAGGGUGUUGUGUGCGACGAGUUUCGAACUGUGCGAGUGCGAGCGACGAGGAUUCGACGAGGGCGUUGGGUGUGGCGUUCGGAGGUCUGUGUGACGACUCGAGGGUGCGAGCGAGGGAGUUUGAGGGGCUUGUGCGAGCAUCGGUUUUUGUGACAAGGUUGAUGUGCGUGCGAGUCGAGCAUGGCCUGUGGCUCGAUUGCGUCGCGCGAAGCAAGGUGACCGGUUGUGGGUGGUGGCGUGCGAAGCAGCAGCACGACCGUUUAUGGCUGCGUGGCGAGCGAGUAUUGCCGGAAUUCGGUUGCCGGUGUUUAAUGCCGGCGAGAUUCAGUGGUCCCAAUUUCAUAAGCGGAACGUUUGGUUAAGACAACGAAAAUUCUCCGUUACAAGACUAGGUGUACUGGUGCUGCUGCAUGAUAUCAAGCAUACGAGGGAUAGUCUUUAAUCUUGGAACUUUAACGCGUUUAGUUAAGCAUUUUAAAAACUAUUAUGAUUUACUUAAUUAGUUUGUGGUUUGUAUAAAAGGGGUCAUUGAUGAUUCCCGAGUUGUAGUAACAUUUUUAUUUCCGCUGCAUUUCAGUUUUCGAGACAAUGAUUUGAGUUAACAUUCUUCUUAUUAAGCCUUGUGUUUCAUCGCGACGGUAAUGCACCCAAAGUCGAUGCGACGUAGUCGUAGACGUGUAUGGAUUUUGGGGGUGUUACAUUUUAAAGUGGUUGUAUUUUAUCUAGAGUAUUGAUUUUAGUUUA